CUAAACUUGCUCAAAGCGAAGAAACAUGAUAAGUUGCUUUGGUUUUAGUUUUUCACAGUGCUAAAUGCAAGUUGUGAAGGGCUUUGGAGCUUAAAAUAUAGAAAUUUUUUUUUGAAGAAUCACAGGCAUGAAAACCACCUGCACAAUUUCAAAUUGUGACAAAAAAGCCAUUUUGCGCAAGUUUCUCAACUUUUCGUUGUCUUUGGUACUAAAUUGCUUUGCAUACAUUUUUAGGAGAAUUCGUGAAUGCUGUGGGAUUGGACAAGAAUGCUCUUCAUUUUGGGAUGGCGUGAAUUAUU
Molecule: long non-coding RNA, 299 nt
Filed under: Durio zibethinus
Lineage: Eukaryota; Viridiplantae; Streptophyta; Magnoliopsida; Malvales; Malvaceae
Description: long non-coding RNA (DZIB_LNC002323)
Source: RNAcentral